RNAcentral lists this ribosomal RNA (424 nucleotides) under uncultured prokaryote. Its description in RNAcentral is "bacterial SSU rRNA". It matches the Rfam family "Bacterial small subunit ribosomal RNA", at positions 355 to 796 of the family's 1533-position model. The record is from RNAcentral.
UGAGGAAUAUUGCGCAAUGGGGGCAACCCUGACGCAGCAACGCCGCGUGGACGAUGAAGGCUCUCGGGUCGUAAAGUCCUUUUCUGAAGGAAGAUAAUGACGGUACUUCAGGAAUAAGUCCCGGCUAACUACGUGCCAGCAGCCGCGGUAAAACGUAGGGGGCAAGCGUUAUCCGGAUUCAUUGGGCGUAAAGCGCGCGUAGGCGGCGCUGUAAGUUGGAUGUGAAAGCUCCCGGCUUAACUGGGAGAGGCCGUUCAAUACUGCAGUGCUGGAGGUUGACAGAGGAGAGUGGAAUUCCCGGUGUAGUGGUGGAAUGCGUAGAUAUCGGGAGGAACACCAGUGGCGAAAGCGGCUCUCUAGGUCACACCUGACGCUGAGGUGCGAAAGCGUGGGGAGCGAACGGGAUUAGAUACCCCCGUAGUCC